AGAGUGAAAAGAUCACCUGGAAUCACCUGACCAAACAUGAGAAUGGCAAAACGCAGUUGUCCAGGCCAAGCAAGCUGCAUCACCAUACCCAGGAUUUCCCAUCAACGUCCCAACUGGGGUGACACAAGGACUUAUCUUAGUUACAUGAGAAAGAUGAAAACAGAACAGAGAAAGAAGAGUCAGAUCUGGUUUCCAGCCUGAUGGUUUAUGGGCCAGUAGGAGGGAAGACAGCAGGUUUUGUGUAUAUUUUAAGUGGAAAAUAAACAUCUUCCUGGUCA
Molecule: long non-coding RNA, 278 nt
Organism: Ornithorhynchus anatinus (platypus)
Lineage: Eukaryota; Metazoa; Chordata; Mammalia; Monotremata; Ornithorhynchidae
Exons: 2
Source: RefSeq, a predicted model, not a curated record